This 978-nucleotide long non-coding RNA is filed under the name Panax ginseng (ginseng). RNAcentral describes it as "long non-coding RNA (PGIN_LNC006722)". Lineage: Eukaryota; Viridiplantae; Streptophyta; Magnoliopsida; Apiales; Araliaceae. The record is from RNAcentral.
AAUUAUUGCAUUAUGGGGACUGGGGACAUGACAAUCAAGAGUUGAUAGUAGUAGUAGUAUGUAUUACUAUUAUUAUUCCCUGUUUGUCCUAAUAAAAAUACUCCUUUUUUUUUGUAAGGACAUCAUCUCCUUCUCAUGGCCAUUAAACGCACUCUUUUGAAAAAUAUCUAAACAAAAUGAGCCAUAAAUAUCAAACAGUCUUCACUCCAAUGCUAUGCUACUCUUUUCUAGGGGUGUAAAUGAUGAGUAGGUUUUUAAACCAUAAAUUAUGUUUAGUUGGUCUGUUUUUGUAUUUGUUUUUAUGCAUUUUUAUGCUACUGUUGAUGAGUUUUUCGUUUAAUGUAGGAAAAGCAGAGGCGUCUUGCGUUUAGAAGCAUUUGAGAUUGUGUGAUCAGUUAAUGAAGUUGCUGAUGGUGUAGCGCUGGCAGCGCCGUGAGGAGCGCUGACUGCGCUGGGCUGGCGCUGACAGCGCCGGGUCGAUUAUACAUACUGAUGCACUGGCGCUGACUGCGCUGCGGGAAGGCCACAAUGGCGUUGACUGCGCUGGGGCGGUGAAUUGUUUUCUAACGAAGAGUUAGAUAGUAGUAGUUGGGGAGAUUUAGAAUUGUUUUAAGUUGUUUUGGAUAGGAAGUGGAGGCAAACUAGGAGAGUUUCUAGACAAAAGAUGGUCUACAAGUAAAAAAAGUGACGGGAAAAAAAAGGGAGAUACACAACUUGGAAAAAGAACGACAUUGGAGAUCAAGCUUGGAGGUUUAGAGAAGAAGGAAUAACUUCACGAAAAUUGAAAGAAUCAAAUUCAGAGAAGGGUGGUGUUUUAUUAUUCUUCCUUAAUUUUUAUUAUCUGUAAUUGGGAUGAUGUCUCCUUUUAUUUAUUCAGUAGUUAAUUUAUUUAUGAUGAAUUAAUUAUCUUUUUAGGCAAUUGAUGGAUCUUUGAGUGGAACAAUGGUUUAUUAGCUUUAAUUCUCAGUUUAAUAAAAU